Molecule: non-coding RNA, 1547 nt
Organism: Taeniopygia guttata (zebra finch)
Lineage: Eukaryota; Metazoa; Chordata; Aves; Passeriformes; Estrildidae
Source: RefSeq, a predicted model, not a curated record
CAGGCCAGCCUGGCGUGUCCAGCAGAGCCGGGACCCCGCUGCCCCCCAAAUCUCCGCGGGAAAAGCACGGGCAGGCUGCCCCGGGCUCCCCGGAGCUCCCGGUGCUCGGAGCGGCAGCACCGCCGGGGAUGCUCCGUGCGCGCACCCGCAGCUCCCGCGGCCACGCAGCCCCGAGCAGCGCCCAGGUAGCCCACGCUGCGUGGAGCUCGCCCGUGGGCCGUCACCUCGACGGCCCCGCCGCCCGAAAAGGCUCCGGUUCCCCGCUCCUGGCGGGGAUCCCCCGGUUCCAGCCCCGGGAGGCCGGGCCGGCCGCGGGGCUCCCACCUGCCCGGCCCCCGUCCGUUCUAACGGGGCACCGGGAUGGGCUGCGGGGCAGACGCAUGGGUUUGUUUUUUUUUUUCCUCGUGGAAAAGAGAAUAAAAUGUACAAAAAUGCCCCGAAUAGAAAAAGGUCCGUCGCUCCCCGCAGCAUCUCCCUGGGACGCGCCGUCCAGGAGCGAUCGCGGCGCGGUGGAAGCGGUAAGUGGCAUCAUAAAUAUCCCUCUGAUUUUGUUCAGCGCCGCGUAAAUCUGACCGAACCAUCCGGCAGCUGACUUCAGUGCUUUAAUUACAGAUAGUAUUGAUCUGGGAGCUAUCUCCAGGGCUGGCCACACUCCUUGUAGCGUCCAAAGAACAGAGACCUGACUGGCCGGACACACAUCUCUGCUGCAUUUUCAUAUUCUCCAAAAGUCCCCCAUUAAAAAGCUGAGCGGGGAACAAGGGGUGAGUUUAAUUUGCUUUUAGUUUGCUAAUUGAAGGGGAGGACGGUUCAUUUCUGCACGCUGAUCUCCCAAAAGGGAGCUCAUUUGUAGGGGACUGGGGGUUUGACAUCCGGACAAAAGACCCCAACCAGCUUCGGAAUCAAGCAGCACAAAGACCACCUUAAAUACAGCUUUCCAGUAGAAAUAAGCCUGUGACCGGUCCCUUGUUCGGGGAACCUCAUAAAAGUGGCGAUCCCUUUUUAUUGUUUUGUUAGGGAGACAUUUUAAAACAAAAGCUCCAACCCCUUUAUUGCUUCCCCCACGAAAAGGAGUUAAGAAAAAAAAAAAAGUGUUACAACUUAAUCCGCCCAGAGAACGCUGUGUUUACUGGGAACUUUGAACUAGGCUGCGGCUGGGUAUUUUGGCUUUUUUUUUUUUUUUUUUUUUUUUUUUUUUUUUUUUUUUUUAGUACAGUGCCACAUACUGUAGCAGAGACAAUCCCCAUCUGGAACACUCUCUCCACGAGUCUCCUGGAAGGGCACAAAACAAAAGCCCGACACAACAACAACAACAACAACAACUACCACCAAUCCACCAAUCCAGCAAUCCUCCAAACUCCAGCCUUUCUUCCGGCGGGGAGAAAACCGCCUGAAAACCGCGUUCGCAGCGGCCCUGGCUGCCCGGCCGUCGGGGGGAGCCUGUGCCCGGCCCCGCCGCUGCUCUCGGCCCGUUCCGCGCCCCCCAACGAGUGCCGAGCCCCGGGACCUGCCGAGACCCUCGGCCCGGCACGACCGCGGCUGAAACAUCG